AUGGAAGCUCACAGGCAGCGGGAACGGCACUGGCCUCGCGAGGCUCGCGUACACCGGCCAGUGGGGCGGGCUCGGCGCCGACGCCUUCGCCGGCCCGUUCGUGGUGUCGGGGACGCGCAACCGGUUGGUGGUCACGGGGUGCAACCAGCAGGCCACGCUGCUCGGGGAAGGCGGCAACGUCAUCGUCGGUUGCUCCGCCUUCUGCCCCGUCACCGACACGUUUCUGAGCACGAUCUCCCCGGAGGAGGUCACCGCGUGCGCCGGCGUGGGCUGCUGCGAGACGCCCAUCCCCAUCGGCCGCCUUUCCUACAGCGUGCAGCUCGCGGGGCUGGACCUGAACCAGGAGAUGGACCUCCAGCUGCCUAUCGCGGUGCGCAUCGCCGAGACUGGCUGGUUCGAGGGCAACUCCGCCGGGCUGCUCAACAAGUCGCUCCAGGGCUCCUCCAGCACGACGGCGAUCUCCGUGGUGCUGGAGUGGGUGAUGGAGUCCAAGCGGCUCCUGCAACCCCAGGAUACAGCGACGGGCUGCCCACAGGAGGCGGCGAGGAGCGUGUGCCGGAGCAGCCGCAGCGCAUGCCUCAACGUCACCAACAACUACCGCACUGGCUACGUGUGCCAUUGCGAGGAGGGCUACGAGGGCAACCCAUACCUCGCCGGCGCCGGCGGAUGCCCGACAAGUUCAUGUGCUUCGGCAUCUGCGCCAACACGCUUGGAGCGUACCAGUGCCGGUGCCCGCCGGGCUCCCGUGGCAACCCCCAGAUCAAAGAUGGCUGCGUGAAAUCAUCUCUAGGUCUGGGUGUCGGCAUAGGAAUCGGCUGUGGUGCUGGCCUUCUACUCCUGAUACUUGGUGUCUUUUUUGUGACCCGGAAGCUGAAGCAGCAGAGGGCAAAAGUACUGAAGAAGAAAUUUUUCAGGCAAAACAGGGGGCAUCUGCUGCAGCAAUUGGUGUCGCAAAAGGCAGACAUCGCUGAGAGGAUGAUCAUCCCCUUGGUGGAGCUGGAGAAGGCCACCAAUAACUUUGACAAAGCUCGCGAGAUCGACGGAGGAGGGCACGGCACCGUGUACAAAGGGAUCAUGUCAGACCUGCACGUCGUGGCGAUCAAGAAGUCCAAGGUCGUGGUUCAGAGGGAGAUCGACGAGUUCAUCGACGAGGUAGCGAUCCUCUCGCAGAUCAACCAUCGGAACGUGGUGAAGCUCUUCGGGUGCUGCCUCGAGACGGAGGUGCCGUUGUUGGUGUAUGAGUUCAUCUCCAAUGGGACUCUUUAUGACCAUCUUCAUGUGGAAGAGCCUGAAGCAUCGUUGCCAUGGGUGGAGCGCCCGAGAAUUGCCACGGAGACUGCGAGAGCUUUCGCGUACCUUCACUCAGCCGUGUCAAUCCCUAUAGUCCACAGGGACAUCAAAUCUCAGAACAUGCUAUUAGAUGGCACUUUCAUAGCAAAGGUGUCAGACUUUGGAGCUUCGAGGUGCAUUCCAAUCGAUCAAACAGGGGACGCAACUGCCAUCCAAGGGACAUUUGGGUAUCUAGACCCCAUGUACUACUACUUCGGACAACUCACUGAGAAGAGUGAUGUUUAUAGCUUUGGCGUUCUCCUCAUGGAGCUGCUAACGAGGAAAAAACCGUGCUCAUAUCGAUCGUCUGAGGAGAAAAGCCUGGUUGCAUAUUUCACCGCCUUGCUCGCAACAGGCGACCUCGCCAGUUUGUUAGAUCCUCAGGUUGUGCAGGAAGGAGGCAAGAUGGUUGAAGAGGUAGCCCUAUUGGCAGCGGCAUGCGUGAGGAUGGAAGAGGGCCAACGGCCAACCAUGAGGCAAGUGGAGAUGACACUCGAGAACCUUCGAGUACCCCAUGGAAAUGUCGUGAUGUCUGAUAUGGAUGCACCAAGUUAUGCAAUGAUCGAGGGUGGAAAAACGGAGGAGGUGAGCAGACAAUAUAGCCAGGAAGAAGAAUAUUUGUUGUCAUCAAGAUACCCGAGGUAG
RNAcentral lists this ribosomal RNA (1974 nucleotides) under Triticum aestivum (bread wheat). RNAcentral describes it as "partial small subunit ribosomal RNA". The record is from RNAcentral. Lineage: Eukaryota; Viridiplantae; Streptophyta; Magnoliopsida; Poales; Poaceae.